CCUCGGGUGGCAGCAGUGAGGAAUAUUGGUCAAUGGGCGCAGGCCUGAACCAGCCAAGUCGCGUGAGGGAAGACUGCCCUAUGGGUUGUAAACCUCUUUUAUAAGGGAAGAAUAAUGACUACGUGUAGUCAGAUGCCCGUACCUUAUGAAUAAGCAUCGGCUAACUCCGUGCCAGCAGCCGCGGUAAUACGGAGGAUGCGAGCGUUAUCCGGAUUUAUUGGGUUUAAAGGGUGCGUAGGCGGUAUUUUAAGUUAGUGGUAAAAUCGCGGGGCUCAACCUCGCUCCGCCGUUGAAACUGGCGUUCUUGAGUGGGCGAGAAGUAUGCGGAAUGCGUGGUGUAGCGGUGAAAUGCAUAGAUAUCACGCAGAACUCCGAUUGCGAAGGCAGCAUACCGGCGCCCAACUGACGCUGAAGCACGAAAGCGUGGGUAUCGAACAGGAUUAGAUACCCCUGUAGUC
This 458-nucleotide ribosomal RNA is filed under the name uncultured bacterium. RNAcentral describes it as "partial 16S ribosomal RNA". It matches the Rfam family "Bacterial small subunit ribosomal RNA", at positions 339 to 795 of the family's 1533-position model. The record is from RNAcentral.